UUACAUUGAAGCCUAGCGAUAUGUAAGUUAGUGGCGGACGGGUGAGUAACGCGUGGGUAACCUGCCUUGUACAGGGGGACAACAGUUGGAAACGACUGCUAAUACCGCAUAAGCGCACGGGAUCGCAUGAUCCUGUGUGAAAAACUCCGGUGGUAUAAGAUGGACCCGCGUCCGAUUAGCUAGUUGGUGAGAUAACAGCCCACCAAGGCGACGAUCGGUAGCCGACCUGAGAGGGUGAUCGGCCACAUUGGAACUGAGAGACGGUCCAGACUCC
Molecule: ribosomal RNA, 274 nt
Filed under: uncultured Eubacteriales bacterium
Lineage: Bacteria; Bacillati; Bacillota; Clostridia; Eubacteriales
Description: uncultured Clostridiales bacterium partial 16S ribosomal RNA
Rfam family: Bacterial small subunit ribosomal RNA
Source: RNAcentral